AUCCAUAUGUCGCGGCCUAUCAGCUUGUUGGUGGGGUAAUGGCCUACCAAGGCGACGACGGGUAGCCGGCCUGGGAGGGUGUCCGGCCACACUGGGACUGAGAUACGGCCCAGACUCCUACGGGAGGCAGCAGUGGGGAAUAUUGCACAAUGGGCGCAAGCCUGAUGCAGCGACGCCGCGUGAGGGAUGACGGCCUUCGGGUUGUAAACCUCUUUCAGCAGGGACGAAGCGCAAGUGACGGUACCUGUAGAAGAAGGACCGGCCAACUACGUGCCAGCAGCCGCGGUAAUACGUAGGGUCCGAGCGUUGUCCGGAAUUACUGGGCGUAAAGAGCUCGUAGGUGGUUUGUCGCGUUGUUCGUGAAAACUCACAGCUUAACUGUGGGCGUGCGGGCGAUACGGGCAGACUUGAGUACUGCAGGGGAGACUGGAAUUCCUGGUGUAGCGGUGGAAUGCGCAGAUAUCAGGAGGAACACCGGUGGCGAAGGCGGGUCUCUGGGCAGUAACUGACGCUGAGGAGCGAAAGCGUGGGGAGCGAACAGGAUUAGAUACCCUGGUAGUCCACGCCGUAAACGGUGGGUACUAGGUGUGGGUUUCCUUCCUUGGGAUCCGUGCCGUAGCUAACGCAUUA
RNAcentral lists this ribosomal RNA (630 nucleotides) under Mycobacterium sp. MI-6.3 U3. RNAcentral's name for it is "bacterial SSU rRNA". It matches the Rfam family "Bacterial small subunit ribosomal RNA", at positions 222 to 862 of the family's 1533-position model. The record is from RNAcentral. Lineage: Bacteria; Bacillati; Actinomycetota; Actinomycetes; Mycobacteriales; Mycobacteriaceae.